This is a non-coding RNA of Oncorhynchus masou masou (cherry salmon), 89 nucleotides long. The record is from the annotation of a RefSeq genome assembly. NCBI's taxonomy places the organism in Eukaryota, Metazoa, Chordata, Actinopteri, Salmoniformes, Salmonidae.
UACAGGAUGAGGUGGCCGAGUGGUUUAGGCGAUGGACUGCUAAUCCAUUGUGCUCUGCAUGCAUGGGUUCGAAUCCCAUCAUUGUGUAA